Molecule: ribosomal RNA, 1375 nt
Filed under: uncultured bacterium
Lineage: Bacteria
Description: bacterial SSU rRNA
Rfam family: Bacterial small subunit ribosomal RNA
Source: RNAcentral
GAGUUUUAUCAUGGCUCAGAGUGAACGCUGGCGGCGUGCCUAAUACAUGCAAGUCGAACGGAGAUUUAAGUAGCUUGCUAUUUAAUCUUAGUGGCGCACGGGUGAGUAAUAUAUAGCUAAUCUGCCCUACACUAGAGGACAACAGUUGGAAACGACUGCUAAUACUCUAUACUCCUUCUUUACAUAAGUUAAGUCGGGAAAGUUUUUCGGUGUAGGAUGAGGCUAUAUCGUAUCAGCUAGUUGGUAGGGUAACGGCCUACCAAGGCUAUGACGCGUAACUGGUCUGAGAGGAUGAUCAGUCACACUGGAACUGAGACACGGUCCAGACUCCUACGGGAGGCAGCAGUAGGGAAUAUUGCUCAAUGGGGGAAACCCUGAAGCAGCAACGCCGCGUGGAGGAUGACACUUUUCGGGGCGUAAACUCCUUUUCUUGGGAAAGAAUUAUGACGGUACCCAAGGAAUAAGCACCGGCUAACUCCGUGCCAGCAGCCGCGGUAAUACGGAGGGUGCAAGCGUUACUCGGAAUCACUGGGCGUAAAGGACGCGUAGGCGGAUUAUCAAGUCUCUUGUGAAAUCUAACGGCUUAACCGUUAAACUGCUUGGGAAACUGAUAAUCUAGAGUAAGGGAGAGGCAGAUGGAAUUCUUGGUGUAGGGGUAAAAUCCGUAGAGAUCAAGAAGAAUACCCAUUGCGAAAGCGAUCUGCUGGAACUUAACUGACGCUAAUGCGUGAAAGCGUGGGGAGCAAACAGGAUUAGAUACCCUGGUAGUCCACGCCCUAAACGAUGUAUACUAGUUGUUGCUUCACUAGUCGAGGCAGUAAUGCACCUAACGGAUUAAGUAUACCGCCUGGGGAGUACGGUCGCAAGAUUAAAACUCAAAGGAAUAGACGGGGACCCGCACAAGCGGUGGAGCAUGUGGUUUAAUUCGAAGAUACGCGAAGAACCUUACCCGGACUUGAUAUCUAACAAAUCAUCCAGAGAUGGAAGAGUGUCUGCUUGCAGAAAUGUUAAGACAGGUGCUGCACGGCUGUCGUCAGCUCGUGUCGUGAGAUGUUGGGUUAAGUCGCGCAACGAGCGCAACCCACGUCAUUAGUUGCUAACGGUUCGGCCGAGCACUCUAAUGAGACUGCCUUCGUAAGGAGGAGGAAGGUGUGGACGACGUCAAGUCAUCAUGGCCCUUAUGUCCGGGGCGACACACGUGCUACAAUGGCGUAUACAAUAAGACGCAAUAUCGCGAGAUGGAGCAAAUCUAUAAAAUACGUCCCAGUUCGGAUUGGAGUCUGCAACUCGACUCCAUGAAGCCGGAAUCGCUAGUAAUCGUAGAUCAGCCAUGCUACGGUGAAUACGUUCCCGGGUCUUGUACACACCGCCCGUC